Molecule: ribosomal RNA, 115 nt
Filed under: Dipodomys ordii (Ord's kangaroo rat)
Lineage: Eukaryota; Metazoa; Chordata; Mammalia; Rodentia; Heteromyidae
Source: RNAcentral
GUGGCCACCUCACCUUGAAUGUGCUUGGUCUCUUCAGGGCUCAGAAGCUAAGCAUUGGGCAGCCUAGCUAGUACUUGGAUUGGAGACUUCUAUUAUAAAGGAUUGGCUGAUUACU